Molecule: ribosomal RNA, 433 nt
Filed under: uncultured bacterium
Lineage: Bacteria
Description: partial 16S ribosomal RNA
Rfam family: Bacterial small subunit ribosomal RNA
Source: RNAcentral
ACGGGAGGCAGCAGUGGGGGAUAUUGCACAAUGGGGGAAACCCUGAUGCAGCGACGCCGCGUGAGUGAUGAAGUAUUUCGGUAUGUAAAGCUUUAUCAGCAGGAAAGAUAAUGACGGUACCUGACUAAGAAGCACCGGCUAAUACGUGCCAGCAGCCGCGGUAAUACGUAUGGUGCAAGCGUUAUCCGGAUUUACUGGGUGUAAAGGGAGCGUAGGCGGUUUGGCAAGUCUGAUGUGAAAACCCGGGGCUUAACCUCGGGAUUGCAUUGGAAACUGUCGGACUUGAGUGUCGGAGAGGAAAGCGGAAUUCCUAGUGUAGCGGUGAAAUGCGUAGAUAUUAGGAGGAACACCAGUGGCGAAGGCGGCUUUCUGGACGAUAACUGACGCUGAGGCUCGAAAGCGUGGGGAGCAAACAGGAUUAGAUACCCUGGUA